UGCCAUAGACUUCACAGGACUUACAGG
Molecule: non-coding RNA, 27 nt
Filed under: Homo sapiens (human)
Lineage: Eukaryota; Metazoa; Chordata; Mammalia; Primates; Hominidae
Source: RNAcentral